GAGUGGCGAACGGGUGAGUAACACGUGGGUAACCUGCCCAGAAGUAGGGGAUAACACCUGGAAACAGAUGCUAAUACCGUAUAACAGAGAAAACCGCAUGGUUUUCUUUUAAAAGAUGGCUCUGCUAUCACUUCUGGAUGGACCCGCGGCGUAUUAGCUAGUUGGUGAGGUAAAGGCUCACCAAGGCAGUGAUACGUAGCCGACCUGAGAGGGUAAUCGGCCACAUUGGGACUGAGACACGGCCCAGACUCCUACGGGAGGCAGCAGUAGGGAAUCUUCCACAAUGGACGCAAGUCUGAUGGAGCAACGCCGCGUGAGUGAAGAAGGGUUUCGGCUCGUAAAGCUCUGUUGUUAAAGAAGAACGUGGGUAAGAGUAACUGUUUACCCAGUGACGGUAUUUAACCAGAAAGCCACGGCUAACUACGUGCCAGCAGCCGCGGUAAUACGUAGGUGGCAAGCGUUAUCCGGAUUUAUUGGGCGUAAAGCGAGCGCAGGCGGUCUUUUAAGUCUAAUGUGAAAGCCUUCGGCUCAACCGAAGAAGUGCAUUGGAAACUGGGAGACUUGAGUGCAGAAGAGGACAGUGGAACUCCAUGUGUAGCGGUGAAAUGCGUAGAUAUAUGGAAGAACACCAGUGGCGAAGGCGGCUGUCUGGUCUGCAACUGACGCUGAGGCUCGAAAGCAUGGGUAGCGAACAGGAUUAGAUACCCUGGUAGUCCAUGCCGUAAACGAUGAUUACUAAGUGUUGGAGGGUUUCCGCCCUUCAGUGCUGCAGCUAACGCAUUAAGUAAUCCGCCUGGGGAGUACGACCGCAAGGUUGAAACUCAAAAGAAUUGACGGGGGCCCGCACAAGCGGUGGAGCAUGUGGUUUAAUUCGAAGCUACGCGAAGAACCUUACCAGGUCUUGACAUCUUCUGACAGUCUAAGAGAUUAGAGGUUCCCUUCGGGGACAGAAUGACAGGUGGUGCAUGGUUGUCGUCAGCUCGUGUCGUGAGAUGUUGGGUUAAGUCCCGCAACGAGCGCAACCCUUAUUACUAGUUGCCAGCAUUAAGUUGGGCACUCUAGUGAGACUGCCGGUGACAAACCGGAGGAAGGUGGGGACGACGUCAAAUCAUCAUGCCCCUUAUGACCUGGGCUACACACGUGCUACAAUGGAUGGUACAACGAGUCGCGAGACCGCGAGGUUAAGCUAAUCUCUUAAAACCAUUCUCAGUUCGGACUGUAGGCUGCAACUCGCCUACACGAAGUCGGAAUCGCUAGUAAUCGCGGAUCAGCAUGCCGCGGUGAAUACGUUCCCGGGCCUUGUACACACCGCCCGUCACACCAUGAGAGUUUGUAACACCCAAAGCCG
This 1348-nucleotide ribosomal RNA is filed under the name Pediococcus pentosaceus. Its description in RNAcentral is "16S ribosomal RNA". It matches the Rfam family "Bacterial small subunit ribosomal RNA", at positions 93 to 1429 of the family's 1533-position model. Lineage: Bacteria; Bacillati; Bacillota; Bacilli; Lactobacillales; Lactobacillaceae. The record is from RNAcentral.